CCCAAAUCGGGUGGUGAAUUCCGUCCAAGGCUAAAUACGGGCGACAGACCGAUAGCGAACAAGUACCGUGAGAGAAAGAUAAAAAGAACUUUGAAAAGAGAGUUAAAGAGUACUUGAAAUUAUCAGGAAGAAAGCAGUUGGGGGCUAGUGAUGCACCCCAGUCGGAUAUGGAAUGGCGACGAGCUGGUCUACCGAUCGACUCAGGUCGUGGACCAGCGUGGAUUAGGGGGGCGGUCGAACCCCGAGCUCUCAAUACGCUCGUGGAAUGUUGUCUCCUCAAUUGUGGAAGGCAGCGCGUGCCUCUGGCGUGCUUUGGCAUCAGCGCGCUAUGAACACUGGCCUGUGGGCUCCCCAUUUGACUCGUCUUGAAAAACGGACCAAGGAGUCUAACAUGUGUGCGAGUCAACGAGCGAGUAAACUCGUAAGGCAUAAGAAAGUUGAUUGGUGGUAUCCCCCCGAGGGGUGCACAGCCAACCGACCUUUAUAUUUUGAGAAGAGUUCGAGUGUGAGCAUACCUGUCAGGACCCGAAAGAUGGUGAACUAUGCCUGAGCGGUGAGAAGCGAGAGGAAACUCUGGUGGAGGCCCGUAGCGAUACUAACUUAGAAAUCAUUCAUCUGACUUGGGUGUAGGGCUCGUGGCUGCUUUGUCAAGCCAUGCCACGGAAUCAAGAGCUCUAAGUGGGCCAUUUUUUAUAAGCAGAACUGGCGAUGAGGGAUGAAUCGAAAGCCGGGUUACGGUGCCAAACUGUGCGCUAACCUAGAUCCUAUAAAGAGUGUUGGUUGAUUAAGACAGAAGGACGGUGGUCAUAGAAGUCAAAAUCCGCUAAGGAGUGUGUAACAACUCACCUGCCAAGUAAACUAGCCCCGAAAAUAGAUGGCUCUUAAGCGCGCAACUUACACCCGGCCAUCAGGGAAAGUUCCAGGCCGAUGAGUUGGAGGGUGCGACGGUCGCUGCAAAGCGCGAGCCCAGGCAGAGCGGCCGUCGGUGCAGAUAUUGGUGGUAGUAGCAAAUAUUUAAAUAAGAACUUUGAAGGCCGAAGAGGGGAAAGGUUACAUGUGAACGGCACUUGCACAUGGAUUAGUCGAUCCUAAAGGUCGGGGGAACCCCGAUAGAUAGCGCGUUUCACGCAUACUUAGAAAGGGAAUCAAGUUAAAAAUUCCUAAACUGGGAUGUGGCGGUCGACAAAAAUGUUAGGAAGUUUGGAGACUUCGGCGGGAGCCUUGGGAAGAGUUAUCUUUUAUGUUUAAAAGCCUGUAUACCCUGGAAUUAGCUCAACCCGAGGUAGGGUCCAGCGGCUAGAAGAGCACCGCACGUCGCGUGGUGUCUGGUGCACUACCAGUGACCCUUGGAAAUCCAGAGGACCGAAUUCCCUCCACACUCGGUCGUACACAUAACCACAUCAAGUCUUCAAGGGGAACAACCUCUGGCCAAUGGAACAAUAUAGGCAAGAAAAGUCGGCAAAAUGAACCCGUAACUUCAAGAAAAGGAUUGGCACUGAGGGGUGGGCACGGGGAUCCCAGUCCCGAACCCGUCGAUUAUCGGUGGACUACAAGAGCUGCUUCCAUAGAGAGAGCGGGUCGCCGUGUUCCGGUCGGGGGACGGACUGGGAACGGUUCCUUUGGGGGCCUUCCCGAUGCGUCGAACAGCCUACUCAAAACUGGUAUGGACAAGGGGAAUCUGACUAUUUAAUUAAAACAAAGCAUUGCGAUGGUCCCAACGGAUGUUCACGCAUUAUGAUUUCUGCCCAGUGCUCUGAAUGUCAAAGUGAAGAAAUUCAACCAAGCGCGGGUAAACGGCAGGAGUAACUAUGACUCUCUUAAGGUACCCAAAUGCCUCAUCAUCUAAUUAGUGACGCACAUGAACAGAUUAACCAGAUUCCCACUAACCACAGCCAAAGGUAUGGGCUUGGCAGAAUCAGUGGGGAAAGAAGACCCUCUUGAGCUUGACUCUACUCCGACUUUGUGAAAUGACUUGAGAGGUGUAGUAUAAGUGGGAGCCAAAAGGCGAAAGUAAAAUAACACUACUUUUAACGUUAUUUUACUUAUUCCGUGAAUCGGAAGCGGGGCACUGCCCCUCUUUUUGGACCCAAGGCUCGCUCUGCAGGCCGAUCCGGGCAGAAGACAUUGUUAGGUAGGGAGUUUGGAUAGGGCGGCACAUCUAUUAAAAGAGAACGCAGGUGUACUAAGAUGAGCUCAACGAGAACAAAAAUAUCGUAUAGAACAGAAGAUUAAAAGCUCAUUUAAUUCUGAAUUUUAGUAUGAAUACGAACCAUGAAAACAUGGCCUAACGAUCCGUUAGACCUUCAAAAUUCAAAGCUAGAGGUGUCAAAAAAGUGUUACCACAGGGAUAACUGGCCUGUUGCAGCCAAGCGUUCAUAGCGACGUUGCUGUUUCAUCCUUCGACAUCGGCUCUUCCUAUCAUUAUGAAGCAGAAUUCACAAAGCGUUGGACUGUUCACCCACCAAUAGGAAACGUGAGCUGGGUUUAGACCGUCAUGAGACUAUUUAUAACAGUGUCGCAGUAGUAAUUCAACCUAGUACGAGAGGAAACAUUAAUUCACACAAUUUGUUAUCGCGCUUGGUUAAAAAGCCAGUAACGCAAAGCUACCGUGUGCUGGAUUAUGACUGAACGCCUCUAAGUCAGAAUUCGGGCUAAAAGUGAUGCAUGCACCUACUGUCCACUUGCCGACUCAUAGUAGGGUCCUCGGACCCUAAGGGCACGUAUCGUUUGCUAAGCCACCGCAGCAGAAGAGUCGGCGGUGGCCGCCUUAAAGAAUAAUUUCCAUCGAGCGGUGGGUAGAGUCCUUUGCAGACGACUUAAAUAUGGGAC
Molecule: ribosomal RNA, 2829 nt
Filed under: Capsicum annuum
Lineage: Eukaryota; Viridiplantae; Streptophyta; Magnoliopsida; Solanales; Solanaceae
Description: eukaryotic LSU rRNA
Rfam family: Eukaryotic large subunit ribosomal RNA
Source: RNAcentral